RNAcentral lists this transfer RNA (65 nucleotides) under Dipodomys ordii (Ord's kangaroo rat). It matches the Rfam family "tRNA". From Rfam's summary of the family: Transfer RNA (tRNA) molecules are approximately 80 nucleotides in length. Lineage: Eukaryota; Metazoa; Chordata; Mammalia; Rodentia; Heteromyidae. The record is from Rfam by way of RNAcentral.
GGUGGCUCAAGGGUAGAGUGCUUGCCUCAUGUGCAUGAGGCCCUGGGUUCGAUUCCUCAGCACCA